Heteronotia binoei (common prickly gecko) is the source of this 382-nucleotide long non-coding RNA. RefSeq lists it as uncharacterized. The transcript is spliced from 3 exons. The record is from RefSeq and is a predicted model, not a curated record. NCBI's taxonomy places the organism in Eukaryota, Metazoa, Chordata, Lepidosauria, Squamata, Gekkonidae.
GGGCCUAUCAGAAGCCGCUCUACUCAAGUGAGGCGAUGGAGGGAGAUGGGCUGUUAGCGUUCUGGAAAAGAGGGUUCGCUGUGCUUCUGUUGGUUUGCAGCUCACGGAACAUCGCGCGACUGCGUGAAAGUGUAGAAUGUUCUGGCGUUGCCAUGCAUAAAUGACCCAAUUUUAUAUGUUCACGGAGAAGGAAAAAAUUCACACAAUAAUAAUACAUUCGGGAUCAGUCCUGGACUUCAUCUUUUUAUAAACAGUUGACAAUUUUGGCACACAGACCCUGUGAGGAUCAUGCCUUUUCUAGGAUUCUUAAAUCACUACAGCUGCUGAUAUCUUGCCUGUCCCAGCUCUUAGAGAUAUUAAUUAUUUCAGCUAUAUCUCUAAA